Molecule: ribosomal RNA, 128 nt
Filed under: uncultured Alphaproteobacteria bacterium
Lineage: Bacteria; Pseudomonadati; Pseudomonadota; Alphaproteobacteria
Description: partial 16S ribosomal RNA
Source: RNAcentral
GAUACUGUCAUUAUCAUCUCUGGCGAAAGAGCUUUACGACCCUAAGGCCUUCAUCACUCACGCGGCAUGGCUGGAUCAGGCUUGCGCCCAUUGUCCAAGAUUCCCCACUGCUGCCUCCCGUAGGAGUA